UCUCCGUUGGUGAACCAGCGGGGGGAUCAUUACCGAGUUUACAACUCCCAAACCCAAUGUGAACCAUACCAAACUGUUGCCUCGGCGGGGUCACGCCCCGGGUGCGUCGCAGCCCCGGAACCAGGCGCCCGCCGGGGGGACCAACCAAACUCUUUCUGUAGUCCCCUCGCGGACGUUAUUUUUACAGCUCUGAGCAAAAAUUCAAAAUGAAUCAAAACUUUCAACAACGGAUCUCUUGGUUCUG
This 244-nucleotide unclassified non-coding RNA is filed under the name plant metagenome. RNAcentral describes it as "partial contains small subunit ribosomal RNA, internal transcribed spacer 1, and 5.8S ribosomal RNA". The record is from RNAcentral.